Molecule: long non-coding RNA, 745 nt
Organism: Chelonia mydas (Green sea turtle)
Lineage: Eukaryota; Metazoa; Chordata; Testudines; Cheloniidae
Exons: 3
Source: RefSeq, a predicted model, not a curated record
AGGGAGCUGCUGAGGGAAACAGGUGUGUCUUCCCUGCUGCUGGAGUGGGAUGCUGAAGAGAACCACAGCUGUCCCAAGGGCCUGCAUGAGCCUCCAGAGAUCCCUGCCACUUCUUACACUGAGGAGCUGCUUCCACUACCCUUGGCCAUAUAUCUCCAGGGAGACUGAGGAUGACCCCUGGAUGCAGGUGACUAGAGAGAGCAUUCCCUUUCACAAGCAUCUGGAGUUCCCAGAAAGCAAUCCCAAAUUUAUAAUAUCACAGGCUGAGAGGCUCAUUAUCUGAUAUGCAUCUUCAAGCUUGAAGCUGAUUAAACCAUCCAACACUAAAAUCCAAGCAGCAUUUCUGAUACCAUGUUUCAGCAGAAGCUUUUAAAGUAACAACAGAGUCAAAUUACUUGUUCACUAAAUUGGCAUGGAAAAAACAUAAGCCUCGUUAUUAUUUUGUUCUAUAAUAAAAGUCAGCCAAGAAGAAUCAACAGUAUCUACAGACAAGAGACAGUUUUUCAUAAAAGAUGUUCAGAGAACUAAGAUAUUAUUAUUAUUUAUUUAUACAGCACCAUAAGUGUUCAUAUUUCUUGCGCCUGAUCCAAAGCUCACUGCAGUCAAUGACAGUUUGUCCGUUUACUUGAAUGGGCAUUGGAUCCAGCCCAGAAGGUAAGAUAAGAUAGAUGAAUGGGCAUGACCUUAUCUAGAACAGAAAAUAAAUUACAUUUAUGUAAUGCUGUGGAAAUAAAGCUCUGACUAA